Myotis lucifugus (little brown bat) is the source of this 1400-nucleotide RNA transcript. It is a transcript of the gene named deoxyribonuclease 1, with no coding region annotated. The transcript has 10 exons. NCBI's taxonomy places the organism in Eukaryota, Metazoa, Chordata, Mammalia, Chiroptera, Vespertilionidae. The record is from RefSeq and is a predicted model, not a curated record.
AAAGGAGAAAAUUGAUACCAAAGAACAUCCAUUCCUGGUUCUUGGCAGAAUUCCCACCACCUUUGGUAGAAGUUGCAUUUCGGAAUGAAGGGUACCAGGCUGAUGGGGGUGCUGCUCACCCUGACUGGUGUGCUGCAUGUGGUCCUGCCCCUGAGAAUAGCAGCUUUCAACAUCCAGACUUUCGGGGAGACCAAGAUGUCCAAUGCCACCCUCUCCAACUACAUCGUGCAGAUCCUGAGUCGCUAUGACAUUGCCGUGGUCCAGGAGGUCAGAGACAGCCACCUGACGGCCGUGGGGAAGCUGGUGGACAGACUCAAUCAGGAUGACCCCAACACCUAUCACUACAUAGUCAGCGAGCCACUGGGUCGCAGCAGCUAUAAGGAGCGCUACCUCUUUGUGUUCAGGCCGGACCAGGUGUCGGUGCUGGACAGCUACCUGUAUGACGAUGGCUGCGAGCCCUGUGGAAAUGAUACCUUCAGCCGAGAGCCAGCUGUUGUCAAGUUCUCCUCCCCAUUCACCCAGGUCAAGGAGUUUGCCAUCGUCCCCCUGCACGCGGCCCCACUGGAUGCAGUGGCUGAAAUCGACUCUCUAUACGAAGUCUACCUGGACGUCCGGCAGAAGUGGGACAUGGAGGACAUUAUGUUGAUGGGUGACUUCAACGCUGGCUGCAGCUACGUGACCCCUUCGCAUUGGUCAUCCAUCCGCCUGCGCACAAUCCCCACCUUCCAGUGGCUGAUUCCUGACACCGCUGACACUACGGUUACGUCCACGCACUGCGCCUACGACAGGAUCGUGGUCGCCGGAACUCUGCUCCAAAAUGCCAUUGUUCCCGACUCAGCUGGCACCUUUGACUUCCAAGCUGCAUAUGGACUGAGCAACCAGACUGCCCAAGCCAUCAGUGACCACUACCCGGUGGAGGUGACGCUGAAGAGAGCCUGACAAGAGCAGGCCCGGGGCCCCGGCUGGACACCUCUAGCUUCUCUAGCUUGCCUGUGGCUGCUCCUGGGGACCUGCACAAAGAACUGAAGAAGACAGCUGAUCCUGUUGUCACCUUCAGGGACCGAGGUCUCUCACACCGAGUGAAGAAAGUAAGACUUCACAUCACAGGCAAGACAGUCUGUUAAGGAUGCACAGAGAGACCAUAAAGCAAAGCAAUUACCACAAAAGUCAGGACUAUGGUUACCUCAGAGGGACACUUCUAACGGCAUCCGAGGGCCAGCAAGGUUGUUGCUUUUUUACUUUACAUGGGUACAGUUUAAAGUUAAAUUGAAUAGUUUAAUUACACAGGUACUGGAUUUAUAAGCUUUAUGCAUUUUUCCUAUGUGUUAGGAAUAAGAACAAUUUUAAAGGAGUAGCUGGCAGGUCAGAUACAAGCUUGCUGUUCCUGGGCAUCGAGGGCA